AUGGCCUGGACUCCUCUGCUCCUCGCGCUCCUCUCUCUCUGCACAGGGUCCCUCUCCCAGCCUGUGCUGACCCAGCUGCCCUCCCUCUCCGCAUCUCUGGGAGCCACAGCCAGACUCACCUGCACCCUGAGGAGUGGCUACAAUAUUGGCACCUACCAUAUACGAUGGUUCCAGCAGAAGCCAGGGAGCCCUCCCAGAUUUCUCCUGAGGUAUAAAUCAGACUCAGAUAAGUACCACGUAUCCGGGGUCCCCAGCCGCUUCUCUGGAUCCAAAGACGCCUCGGCCAGUGCGGGGCUCCUGCUCAUCUCGGGGCUGCAGCCUGAGGACGAGGCUGACUAUUACUGUAACAUAUGGGACAGCAGCUAUGAAACUUACACAGUGGUCCAGACCCACAGGGAACCCCGACUGUGCUGGUCGGUGUCCGUCCGGAACCGGGUCAUCCUUGGACCCGUGGUCCUGACAGUGUCACAGCUCUGA
Non-coding RNA from Eptesicus fuscus (big brown bat), 477 nucleotides. NCBI's taxonomy places the organism in Eukaryota, Metazoa, Chordata, Mammalia, Chiroptera, Vespertilionidae. The record is from the annotation of a RefSeq genome assembly.